Molecule: ribosomal RNA, 475 nt
Filed under: Ptycta sp. KY-2002
Lineage: Eukaryota; Metazoa; Arthropoda; Insecta; Psocodea; Psocidae
Description: partial 16S ribosomal RNA
Source: RNAcentral
AAUNUAAAGUCAAAUCUGCUCACUGAAUAUUUAAAGAGCCGCAGUAUAUUGACUGUGCAAAGGUAGCAUAAUCAAUAGUUUUUUAAUUGAGAACUGGUAUGAAUGAUUAGACGAGAAAUUAUUUUUCUUUAUUCUAUUAAGUUAAAUUUUAAAUUUAAGUGAAAAUGCUUAAAUAUAUUUAAAAGACGAGAAGACCCUAUAGAUUUUUAUUAUUUAAAUGAAUUUUAAAUUUAAUUUAGUAGAAUAAUUUGGUUGGGGCGAUUUUUUAAUAUAUAAAACUUAAUUUUUUAAAAACAUAAAUAAUUGGAUAUUUGGUCUAAAAUUUUUAAAGAAAAGAUUAAAUUACCUUAGGGAUAACAGCGUUAUUUUAUUUAAGAGUUCAUAUCUAUAAUGAAGUUUGCGACCUCGAUGUUGAAUUAAGAUAAUAUAUUGGAGUAGAAAUUAAUAUAAUUAGUCUGUUCGACUAUUAAAUUCU